RNAcentral lists this ribosomal RNA (615 nucleotides) under uncultured bacterium. RNAcentral describes it as "bacterial SSU rRNA". It matches the Rfam family "Bacterial small subunit ribosomal RNA", at positions 24 to 635 of the family's 1533-position model. The record is from RNAcentral.
UCAGGAUGAACGCUGGCGGCGUGCUUAACACAUGCAAGUCGAACGGGGUACCCUUGACAGAGGCUUCGGCCAAUUGAUAGGAAUACCUAGUGGCGGACGGGUGAGUAACGUGUGAGGAACCUGCCUUGGAGUGGGGAAUAACAGUUAGAAAUAGCUGCUAAUACCGCAUAAUGCAACUAAGUCGCAUGGCUUUGGUUGCCAAAGAUUUAUCGCUCUAAGAUGGCCUCGCGUCUGAUUAGAUAGUUGGCGGGGUAACGGCCCACCAAGUCGACGAUCAGUAGCCGGACUGAGAGGUUGGCCGGCCACAUUGGGACUGAGACACGGCCCAGACUCCUACGGGAGGCAGCAGUGGGGAAUAUUGGGCAAUGGGCGCAAGCCUGACCCAGCAACGCCGCGUGAAGGAAGAAGGCCCUCGGGUUGUAAACUUCUUUUAUUCGGGACGAAACAAAUGACGGUACCGAAUGAAUAAGCCACGGCUAACUACGUGCCAGCAGCCGCGGUAAUACGUAGGUGGCAAGCGUUAUCCGGAUUUACUGGGUGUAAAGGGCGUGUAGGCGGGAGAGCAAGUCAGACGUGAAAUUCCAGGGCUCAACCCUGGAACUGCGUUUGAAACUG